AAGGAGCACUUCUCCCGGUGAGGGUUCACACAGGUGAAUGCCUCUCGGGCAGAGACUGUUUCGUUCCCACACGUGGAACGGCAGGAGCCCAUGGGUGGAACGCUGACAGGUAUUUUCUUCGUCACCGCCGGUCCGAGUGCCGGCGGGAAGAGAGUUAUAUCGGUGCACUGUUGGGUCCUGAGAGAACACGCGAGUGUUUUGUCAGCGACGAUGACCGGGAACGGGAAGGGUUCUUCUUUCCCCAGUAUCGGUUGUUGUGUGUUGUUUGAGAACUGCACAGUGGACGCGAGCAUCUUUGUU
Molecule: unclassified non-coding RNA, 300 nt
Filed under: Rhodococcus ruber
Lineage: Bacteria; Bacillati; Actinomycetota; Actinomycetes; Mycobacteriales; Nocardiaceae
Description: 16S-23S ribosomal RNA intergenic spacer region
Source: RNAcentral